RNAcentral lists this ribosomal RNA (497 nucleotides) under uncultured bacterium. RNAcentral describes it as "partial 16S ribosomal RNA". It matches the Rfam family "Bacterial small subunit ribosomal RNA", at positions 28 to 507 of the family's 1533-position model. The record is from RNAcentral.
GAUGAACGCUGGCGGCGUGCCUAAUACAUGCAAGUCGAGCGAACGGACGAGAAGCUUGCCUCUCUGAUGUUAGCGGCGGACGGGUGAGUAACACGUGGAUAACCUACCUAUAAGACUGGGAUAACUUCGGGAAACCGGAGCUAAUACCGGAUAAUAUUUUGAACCGCAUGGUUCAAAAGUGAAAGACGGUCUUGCUGUCACUGAUAGAUGGAUCCGCGCUGCAUUAGCUAGUUGGUAAGGUAACGGCUUACCAAGGCAACGAUGCAUAGCCGACCUGAGAGGGUGAUCGGCCACACUGGAACUGAGACACGGUCCAGACUCCUACGGGAGGCAGCAGUAGGGAAUCUUCCGCAAUGGGCGAAAGCCUGACGGAGCAACGCCGCGUGAGUGAUGAAGGUCUUCGGAUCGUAAAACUCUGUUAUUAGGGAAGAACAUAUGUGUAAGAAACUGUGCACAUCUUGACGGUACCUAAUCAGAAAGCCACGGCUAACUACGUG